This 72-nucleotide transfer RNA is filed under the name Camelus bactrianus (Bactrian camel). It matches the Rfam family "tRNA". From Rfam's summary of the family: Transfer RNA (tRNA) molecules are approximately 80 nucleotides in length. Their secondary structure includes four short double-helical elements and three loops (D, anti-codon, and T loops). RNAcentral also lists the same sequence under 2 other names. The record is from Rfam by way of RNAcentral. Lineage: Eukaryota; Metazoa; Chordata; Mammalia; Artiodactyla; Camelidae.
GGGUGCAUAGCUCAGUAGUGGAGCGUGUACAUAGCAUGCACAAGGUCCUGGGUUCAAUUCCCAGUGCCUCCA